GACGAACGCUGGCGGCGUGCUUAACACAUGCAAGUCGAACGCUGAAGCUUGGUGCUUGCACUGGGUGGAUGAGUGGCGAACGGGUGAGUAAUACGUGAGUAACCUGCCCUUGACUCUGGGAUAAGCCUGGGAAACUGGGUCUAAUACUGGAUACGACAUGCCACUGCAUGGUGGUGUGUGGAAAGGGUUUUACUGGUUUUGGAUGGGCUCACGGCCUAUCAGCUUGUUGGUGGGGUAAUGGCCUACCAAGGCGACGACGGGUAGCCGGCCUGAGAGAGUGAACGGCCACACUGGGACUGAGAGACGGCCCAGACUCCUACGGGAGGCAGCAGUGGGGAAUAUUGCACAAUGGGCGGAAGCCUGAUGCAGCGACGCCGCGUGAGGGAUGACGGCCUUCGGGUUGUAAACCGCUUUCAGCACGGAAGAAGCGAGAGUGACGGUACGUGCAGAAGAAGCGCCGGCUAACUACGUG
Molecule: ribosomal RNA, 472 nt
Filed under: uncultured bacterium
Lineage: Bacteria
Description: partial 16S ribosomal RNA
Rfam family: Bacterial small subunit ribosomal RNA
Source: RNAcentral